This 675-nucleotide long non-coding RNA is filed under the name Lupinus mutabilis. RNAcentral describes it as "partial ncRNA". Lineage: Eukaryota; Viridiplantae; Streptophyta; Magnoliopsida; Fabales; Fabaceae. The record is from RNAcentral.
UACUCUUCCCCUCCACCACCACCGUACAAGUACUCUUCACCACCACCACCACCCUACAAAUACUCUUCCCCACCACCACCACCAUACAAGUACUCAUCCCCACCUCCACCACCCUAUAAGUACAAGUCUCCACCACCACCACCAAAGAAGGCUUACAAGUACUCAUCCCCACCACCACCAGUUUAUAAGUAUAAGUCUCCUCCUCCUCCAGUUCACUCACCACCACCACAUUAUGUCUAUGCAUCACCUCCUCCACCUGUCCAUUCCCCACCACAAUACAUCUAUGCCUCACCUCCUCCCCCUCACUACUAGGCUGAGCAACCAUGUUGUAUUUGAGGAAUGUGUGGAAAUAAAGAAAGUGAUGGAUAGCAUAAAAAAGCACUUCGCAACUACACAAGAAGAAGCAGGGAACAAAGUUUCCGCGUUUUGUCCUUUAAAUAUAAAAGAAGUGUCACAUAACUUUCUAUAUAAGUGUAGAAUUCAAUUUCCUUUGUUUGUUUUGUUCAUUAUUAAGAAUGUGUAUUUGGAUUUCAAACAGUUGUGAGGCACUACGUUGUUGUUCUAUUGUCAUUGAUUAAUACAUGCAUUAUGGUUCUCACCCUGUUGCGUUUGCAAUGGGUUGGAAAGCCAUUCAUAUAAUAAAUAAAUAUAAAUAUUUGUCUCUCAAAAAAAAAA